RNAcentral lists this transfer RNA (77 nucleotides) under Alphaproteobacteria bacterium. Its description in RNAcentral is "tRNA-Pro". It matches the Rfam family "tRNA". Rfam says of the family: Transfer RNA (tRNA) molecules are approximately 80 nucleotides in length. Their secondary structure includes four short double-helical elements and three loops (D, anti-codon, and T loops). The record is from RNAcentral. RNAcentral also lists the same sequence under 1 other name. Lineage: Bacteria; Pseudomonadati; Pseudomonadota; Alphaproteobacteria.
CGGGGUGUGGCGCAGCUUGGUAGCGCGCCUGUUUUGGGAACAGGAGGCCGGAGGUUCGAAUCCUCUCACCCCGACCA